RNAcentral lists this non-coding RNA (51 nucleotides) under unclassified sequences. RNAcentral describes it as "Xanthine-I sequence". It matches the Rfam family "Xanthine riboswitch aptamer (NMT1 RNA)". Rfam says of the family: Later it was reported as a ncRNA that recognised Xanthine. The record is from Rfam by way of RNAcentral.
GAUGGGAGUAGAAGCAGUCAGCGCCGCGCGGCGCCGGUCAUUGCUCCUUUA